Molecule: ribosomal RNA, 778 nt
Filed under: uncultured Chlamydiae bacterium
Lineage: Bacteria; Pseudomonadati; Chlamydiota; Chlamydiia
Description: bacterial SSU rRNA
Rfam family: Bacterial small subunit ribosomal RNA
Source: RNAcentral
CGUAAAGGGCGCGUAGGCGGAUGGAUAAGUCAGAUGUGAAAUUCCGAAACUCAAUUUCGGGACUGCAUUUGAAACUGUGUAUCUGGAGGAUUGACGGAGAAAACGGAAUUCCACGUGUAGCGGUGAAAUGCGUAGAUAUGUGGAAGAACACCUGUGGCGAAAGCGGUUUUCUAGUUUAUACCUGACGCUGAGGCGCGAGAGCAAGGGGAGCAAACAGGAUUAGAUACCCUGGUAGUCCUUGCCGUAAACGAUGUAUACUUGAUGUAGUGAGGCUCAACCCUGACUGUGUCGAAGCUAACGCGAUAAAGUAUACCGCUUGAGGAGUACGCUCGCAAGGGUGAAACGCAGAAGAAUUGACGGGGGCCCGCACAAGCAGUGGAGCAUGUGGUCUAAUUCGAUGCAACGCGAAGAACCUUACCCAGGCUCGAAAUGUAAUGGACGAUACCAGAGAUGGUAUUUUCCGAAAGGACCGUUAUAUAGGUGCUGCAUGGCUGUCGUCAGCUCGUGCCGUGAGGUGUUGGGUUAAGUCCCGCAACGAGCGCAACCCUUAUCAUUAGUUGCCAACACGAGAGGUGGGGACUCUAAUGAGACUGCCUAGGUUAANUAGGAGGAAGGUGAGGAUGACGUCAAGUCCGCAUGGCCUUUAUGUCUGGGGCUACACACGUGCUACAAUGGUCGGUACAGAAGGCAGCAAGACCGCAAGGUGGAGCAAAUCCGUAAAGCCGAUCACAGUUCAGAUUGUAGUCUGCAACUCGACUACAUGAAGUUGGAAUUGCUA